RNAcentral lists this long non-coding RNA (341 nucleotides) under Trifolium pratense (red clover). Its description in RNAcentral is "long non-coding RNA (TPRA_LNC008725)". The record is from RNAcentral. Lineage: Eukaryota; Viridiplantae; Streptophyta; Magnoliopsida; Fabales; Fabaceae.
AUCAAACGCAUCUUGGACAGAAAACUAGCGUUCAGAAUCUCUGGAUAAAACUUCUUCUGAACCAAUUCUGGGUGGAAUUUCUUUAAGUUCUGAACAACAUGACCUUGAUGCAGAAGGUCAGACAACAACCUAGGAUAAACUAUAGUAGUUUUCCUCUGAGAUUUACUUGCAAGAAUGGCUUCACAAAUCCUUUCAAAAAAGUAGUCUCCAAGAUUAACCUUCUUUCCUGUCAGAAGGAAAUACAGCAGAUGACGAUGAGUCCAGGAGAUUGUAUCAGUCCCACCAACCCUUGGACUGAUAGCUGCUAAGAUGAUCUUGAAAAGAACUCUACAUUCAUCAGU